GGGGGCGUAAAUGGUUUCGACGGGGAUUGCGGGGGCAGGAUAAGCGAGCAGAGGACUCCGGCCUCUUAAAAACGGGGAACUUUUAAAUUUAACUGGCGAAGAUAAUUUCGUACCUGUAGCUGCCUAAUUCGCAGCUGCCGUCCGCCCGCAGUUGCCCACGACUGCGGUAAACGGGCGUGAUUAAUGUGGGGAACCAACCUGCGUAAGCUUUGCCGCAGGCGGGAUUUAAUGAAGCUACCGAAGCCGUGAGCCUGUCGUCGGGCGCUUGGCAGAGGGAAUACUAAAACAGCGACUACGCUCGUAGAAGGUUCUGUCAACGGAUUUUCGGACAGGGGUUCGACUCCCCUCGCCUCCACCA
Molecule: transfer-messenger RNA, 358 nt
Filed under: Clostridiales bacterium
Lineage: Bacteria; Bacillati; Bacillota; Clostridia; Eubacteriales
Also listed under: 4 other names
Rfam family: transfer-messenger RNA
About the family: Bacterial tmRNA, also known as 10Sa RNA or SsrA, is named for its dual tRNA and mRNA-like properties. Its role is to liberate the mRNA from a stalled ribosome.
Source: RNAcentral